GUGAAUUCAUUUUAUUAAGUCGAUCAAGUAGAUUGAUUAUAUUUAUGUUUAGCGCCAUCUGGAGGCUACUAAUUUCGUGUAAAGAAAUGGCACCCUUUUUGGUUUCCAGUGGAUGAAAUCCGUUGAUAUUGGAGGCAUCCUUGUGUAAUAUGGAAGUUAGAUGCACUUUAAGAAGGCAGAAUGAAGUUUUUACGGAGCAUUUGGAGCAACGUGUAUUGGAACAAUAAAGAAACGACCAAUAAACAAAGUCAAAGAUGCUUCCGCUA
This 266-nucleotide long non-coding RNA is filed under the name Strongylocentrotus purpuratus (purple sea urchin). RNAcentral describes it as "uncharacterized LOC115929914". Lineage: Eukaryota; Metazoa; Echinodermata; Echinoidea; Camarodonta; Strongylocentrotidae. The record is from RNAcentral.